GUCCUUUAGGUGUCGGGUUGCCUACGCUAAUGCACGAUAUGAUCGUAUCCUGCCAUACUAUAUACAUUUGUUUAUUAUUUUUUACUUGUUUAUGUAGGAAAAUAUUUGGAGAUAAAAUGUCAGGACAUUUAAACAUAUGCUCAAGCAAUACAUGAAAAACUAGUUAGGCUGUUCCAAUUUUCUUCUUUUUGAAAUCCUCUAAUUUAUGUGAAGAACUUAACACUUCCUCUUAGAUCUUGUUGGAUGGAGUACAUCAUCACUGCGGCGUCCAAGUGAGCUCCCAAAGUUAGCAAAACCUGUGAAUACUCAAGAAGAAAUGUCUUUAGAGGGCCAAGUCAAUGUAUGCAAGACCAUUGAUAUGGAAGAGGCAAUGAUCAGGGGUCUCACAAAAAUGAGCUGGGAAAGGGUUGAUAUUGACUUCAGUGGAACUAAACAAAGACUUUUGGCGCACAGUACUAUUCAGGCAAGUUUCUUCUUUCUCUUUAAUUUAACUACAGAAUCAAGGAAAAACAUAAUAACCUCAAUGAGUAAAAUGCGGUUUGGAGGUCAAC
Molecule: non-coding RNA, 551 nt
Organism: Camellia sinensis
Lineage: Eukaryota; Viridiplantae; Streptophyta; Magnoliopsida; Ericales; Theaceae
Source: RefSeq, a predicted model, not a curated record